This 934-nucleotide ribosomal RNA is filed under the name Staphylococcus sp. HPC954. RNAcentral's name for it is "bacterial SSU rRNA". It matches the Rfam family "Bacterial small subunit ribosomal RNA", at positions 27 to 873 of the family's 1533-position model. The record is from RNAcentral. Lineage: Bacteria; Bacillati; Bacillota; Bacilli; Caryophanales; Staphylococcaceae.
GGAAAAACGCUGGCGGCGUGCCUAAUAGAUGCGUUACGAGCGGGCGGAUGAGGAAGCUUGCUUCUCUGAUGUUAGCGGCGGACGGGUGAGUAACACGUGGGUAACCUACCUAUAAGAGUGGGAUAACUCCGGGAAACCGGGGCUAAUACCGGAUAAUAUUUUGAACCGCAUGGUUCAAUAGUGAAAGACGGUUUCGGCUGUCACUUAUAGAUGGACCCGCGCCGUAUUAGCUAGUUGGUAAGGUAACGGCUUACCAAGGCGACGAUACGUAGCCGACCUGAGAGGGUGAUCGGCCACACUGGAACUGAGACACGGUCCAGACUCCUACGGGAGGCAGCAGUAGGGAAUCUUCCGCAAUGGGCGAAAGCCUGACGGAGCAACGCCGCGUGAGUGAUGAAGGUCUUCGGAUCGUAAAACUCUGUUGUUAGGGAAGAACAAAUUUGUUAGUAACUGAACAAGUCUUGACGGUACCUAACCAGAAAGCCACGGCUAACUACGUGCCAGCAGCCGCGGUAAUACGUAGGUGGCAAGCGUUAUCCGGAAUUAUUGGGCGUAAAGCGCGCGUAGGCGGUUUCUUAAGUCUGAUGUGAAAGCCCACGGCUCAACCGUGAGGGUCAUUGGAAACUGGGAAACUUGAGUGCAAAAGAGGAGAGUGAAUUCCAUGUGUAGCGGUUGAAAUGCGCAGAGAUAUGGAGGACACCAGUGCGAGCGGCUCUCUGGUCUGUAACUGACGCUGAUGUGCGAAAGCGUGGGGAUCAACAGGAUUAGAUACCUGUAGUCCACGCCGUAACGAUGAGUGCUAAGUGUAGGGGUUUCCGCCCUAAUGCUGCAGCUACGAUAGCACUCGCUGGGAGUACGACGCAGUGAACCAAGAUUGACGACCCCCACGUGGACUGUGUUAAUCGAGCCGGAAACUUACAAUUGAAUCUUGACG